UGCAGUCGAACGGCAGCACGGAGCUUGCUCUGGUGGCGAGUGGCGAACGGGUGAGUAAUAUAUCGGAACGUACCCUAGAGUGGGGGAUAACGUAGCGAAAGUUACGCUAAUACCGCAUACGAUCUAAGGAUGAAAGUGGGGGAUCGCAAGACCUCAUGCUCGUGGAGCGGCCGAUAUCUGAUUAGCUAGUUGGUAGGGUAAAAGCCUACCAAGGCAUCGAUCAGUAGCUGGUCUGAGAGGACGACCAGCCACACUGGAACUGAGACACGGUCCAGUCUCCUACGGGAGGCAGCAGUGGGGAAUUCUGACAAUGGGCGAAAGCCUGAUCCAGCAAUGCCGCGUGAGUGAAGAAAGCCUUCGGGUUGUAAAGCUCUUUUGUCAGGGAAGAAACGGUGAAAGCUAAUAUCUUUUGCUAAUGACGGUACCUGAAGAAUAAGCACCGGCUAACUACGUGCCAGCGGCCGCGGUAAUACGUAGGGUGCAAGCGUUAAUCGGAAUUACUGGGCGUAAAGCGUGCGCAGGCGGUUUUGUAAGUCUGAUGUGAAAUCCCCGGGCUCAACCUGGGAAUUGCAUUGGAGACUGCAAGGCUUGAAUCUGGCAG
Molecule: ribosomal RNA, 601 nt
Filed under: uncultured bacterium
Lineage: Bacteria
Description: bacterial SSU rRNA
Rfam family: Bacterial small subunit ribosomal RNA
Source: RNAcentral